UAGACAUGAGUUAAACAUAUAUGCCAUCGACAAAGGGGGAGAAUGUAGAAUCAAAAUUGUCGACAUAGGAUUAUAUUUUAAUCAUGUCAAUUUAAACCUUAAUUACACUAUUAAUCAAUAGGGGGUAAAUAAGUCAAUCGAUAUUAAACCUUACUCCAGUUAAUUAAUUAAUCAUUUGAGUUAAGGGUUUAAGUCAAAGUUAAAAGUCAAAUUGGGAGAAUUGCAUUUUGCAUUAUCACCUUGAAUAUUAUUAUUUGGAAUAAUUGCAUUUUUACCUUGAAUAUUAUUAUUAUUAUAUUUUGACACUUUAUUCAAGGUAUAAUAUUCCAAGGGGACAAAACACUAUUCAAGUUUAAAUUUAUACAAAGAUAAGAUUCUCCAACAAACUCUAUCCAAGAAAAGCACUAUUCAAGAUAAGAUCAAAGACAAAGCUUGGAUUUAUGUGAGAGAUCAAGGAGCCAUCCAUUGAAGAUCCAAGGGUGGACAUUGAGUGGCCAAGGCUAUAAAUAGAAGGGUAAUCUCCUCAUUUUCACUCACCACACUACAAGCAAACUCAAGAGCUUUCACUCCACACUUGCCCACACGUUUUUGCCUCCAAGCUUCCAAGCUUUCAAGUGCUCAAGUGUCCUAGCUUUCCAAAGCUUCAAAAGCUCUCCAACUUCUUAUUCUAAUCUUCUUGUUCAUCUUUACAAGUAAGAAGUGUUGUUUGCUUUAAUAUUCCACUCCUCUAAUCACCUCUUGUGUGUGUCCACUUUGGUUGAGAGGGUUGAGAGUGCAAAGAAUGCAUUGAAGACCACCAAAAGGUAUGUUUUAAAUUAAAUAUUAUUCUGGUUAAAAGCCACUAAAAUACAAGCCUUGCUAAGAUCCUAGCUAGCUCUUAGAUGAUAGUUUCAAAAUCUCAUUACUUGUUAAAUCUAACAAGUCAUGUCAGUACAUGGGAAAUCAAAGAACUCUCUUUUGAGAAGGAGACUGCAAGAUAAAACGAUUUUUCAUGGCUUAGUCAAACCAAAAACAAGAAAUUCUUGGAAACCUAAAAGCUUCAUCUAUAAAUACUAGGUUGUUCACUCUCAAACCAAAACCUUACUUUCUCACCCAUUCCUACCAUCUUCAAAAUGGAUUCGUAUGAUCCAGACUGGAAAAAGGUGAUGGAUCUCAUCACAGGGAAGAAGCAAGUAAGUCAAUCAGAGAUAACUACUCACCUGUUUAAAGAGAUCGAUGAGGCAAAAUCAAGGAUUAAAGUGCUGAAAUCAAGUAUUAAAAACCAAGGAGUUCUGAUCGCAGACUUGCAAUAUCAAAUCGAGAUGUUAAAAGUUCCCACUGAGGAAGCUAACACCAUCAACCAUGGUUUUGAUUAGCUUGCUAUGCCUACUCGAUGCCAUCUGAUUUAGAUGUUCCUUUUUGGUUUCAUCGAUGGUGUUCAAACACCACUAUAACAUCUGUUAAAUAGAUGUUUCUACUUUUUUAAGUCUGUUUUGUUUAAGGUCUAACCAUAGACCUAAGCUUGCUUUAUUUUUAGUGAAAAACAUCAAUGAAAAAUCAAUUUCUCACUAAGUAUUAAAGACUUAAAAGUAGAUAUGAUUCUCAAAUAGUUCUUUAUCAAGAAUCAUCAAAAAUCCAACCAUUAAAUAAAUAUGAUUAACUCCAUAUCUUCAAGAUCUUUUAGAGAUUCAAAUAUUUAAGGGUUGUAUGGAUAAACUAGAAGCUUCAAGGGCUUAAACAUAAAUUAUGUUUGAAGUUUCUAAGUUUAAAAUGAUUCACUAAACUUAAGGAUUAAAAUUAUAUUUCUCAGUGAAUAUAGAGUUAUGUGAAACUUCAAAGACUUAAACAUAAAUCGUUUAUGAAGUUUUUAAGUUUUAAUAGAUUCACGAAAACUUAAGGGUCAAAAUGAUAACUUUACAGUGAAUAUAAAUUUAUGUAAAACUUCAGGGACUUAGAAUCAAUAUUUACAUGAAGUUUUAAUCGAAAAAUUACUUAGAAAUAUUUAACACUUCCAAGGUUUAAAAUGAAAUUUUUUAAGUAUUAAUCUAAGUAUUUAUCAUAACUUCAAAGGGCUUAAAUGAAAUUUUGUUUUAAGUGAAAUUUUACAACUAAGGCUUUAAGGACUGAAAUGAAAAUUUUAAAUCUUUUAAAACUUAGUGAAUAUUUACGUGAUUAUAUUUGUCACUAAGACAUAGAUUUUAAAAUUUUAAAAUGCUCAAAGCAAUUAGUGAAUAUUAUGGAUUUAUACAUAUCAUUCAUAUCUUAUGGAUUAUAACAUUAUAAAAUCUUUAAUCCAUACAUGUUAAGAUCAUCUUCAUCCAUAACACACACAUGGAUUAUUAUUCAUUGCAUGAUCUUAGCACAAGGCAAUUUAAAUUAUCAUAUCAUACUUGCCUUAUAAUGUAUAUCCAAAUUGGCUUCAAUCCAAUAUUUUAUCAAUGAGCAUAAAUUACAUGUUAUUUCUCCUUUAUGAUUGACUAACACUCUUAUAAGCAAGAAGUCACAUUUGGUCAACCACACAAAUCGAAUUUGUGAUCAAAGCUCAAUAAGGUAUGAAGUUUUAUUUUCUCCACAAAUUAGAUAUGUCCUAUCAUUAAGGGGGAGAUACUUCACAGGUAUCUAUUUUAACUUUGUCGAUACCUUAUUGUUUUAAGGGGGAGAAAUCAUGCAUGAUCCACUGCUUUUAAAUUAAAUAUUAUGGGUCAAUAAUUCUGGGGGAGCAUGCUCAUAAGGGUAAAAUAGAAUAUUGACUAGACAUGAGUUAAACAUAUAUGCCAUCGACAAAGGGGGAGAAUGUAGAAUCAAAAUUGUCGACAUAGGAUUAUAUUUUAAUCAUGUCAAUUUAAACCCUAAUUACACUAUUAAUCAAUAGGGGGUAAAUAAGUCAAUCGAUAUUAAACCUAACUCCAGUUAAUUAAUUAAUCAUUUGAGUUAAGGGUUUAAGUCAAAGUUAAAAGUCAAAUUGGGAGAAUUGCAUU
Molecule: long non-coding RNA, 2957 nt
Filed under: Zostera marina
Lineage: Eukaryota; Viridiplantae; Streptophyta; Magnoliopsida; Alismatales; Zosteraceae
Description: long non-coding RNA (ZMAR_LNC001935)
Source: RNAcentral